Molecule: ribosomal RNA, 429 nt
Filed under: uncultured bacterium
Lineage: Bacteria
Description: partial 16S ribosomal RNA
Rfam family: Bacterial small subunit ribosomal RNA
Source: RNAcentral
CCUACGGGGGGCAGCAGUGGGGAAUAUUGCACAAUGGGGGAAACUCUGAUGCAGCGACGCCGCGUGCGUGAAGAAGGAUUUCGGUAUGUAAAGCGCUAUAAGCAGGGAAGAAAAUGACGGUACCUGUUUAAUAAGCCCCGGCUAACUACGUGCCAGCAGCCGCGGUAAUACGUAGGGGGCAAGCGUUAUCCGGAUUUACUGGGUGUAAAGGGAGCGUAGACGGCAGCACAAGUCGGGAGUGAAAUGCCGGGGCUUAACCCCGGAACUGCAUUGGAAACUAGGCAGCUAGAGUGCAGGAGAGGUAAGGGGAAUGCCGAGGGUAGCGGGGAAAUGCGGAGAUAUUAGGAGGAACACCAGUGGCGAAGGCGGCUUACUGGACUGUAACUGACGUUGAGGCUCGAAAGCGUGGGGAGCAAACAGGAUUAGAUA